Long non-coding RNA from Chiloscyllium plagiosum (whitespotted bambooshark), 563 nucleotides. RefSeq lists it as uncharacterized. NCBI's taxonomy places the organism in Eukaryota, Metazoa, Chordata, Chondrichthyes, Orectolobiformes, Hemiscylliidae. The record is from RefSeq and is a predicted model, not a curated record.
GUUCAUGUGGGAGGAUAAGCUAGCAAAUCAUGCGAAGGGAGCCUAAAAUAACUGCAUGUUCUUCUGCACUGCCCACAUCACCUGAUAUUUCUGUUUUAAGUUGGUCACAAGCAAUUGGCAGAAACAGUAAGUCAGCAUGAAGCCUGAAGCAGCUAAGCAAAAUACAGCAUUUCGAAAUUAACGCGCCGAAUGGGAGAUAAACUACAGCUGUAGGCAGACUGGACAGUGGAACCACAAUUACUUGUCGAGUUUCUAUAAUGGAAAUUACUUUGUCACCUCCAGUUUAAGGUUAUGCUGUCUGUCGAUCUGUUACUUCAACCAGACGAAGGUCAGUGCUCCAGGAAGUGCUGCACUUUUCGGGAGAGAGCAUGCCAAGUGUUUGGUUAGUGCUCCGACCAAUAUUUCUCCCCGAACGAAUGUCAUCCAAAAAGGACUGCUGGGUCAUUCUGAUGCCGAUGCUGUAACAGCUGAAGGUCAAUGAUGCCAAUCUAUGUGCUAGAAGUCUGGGUUAUAAUCCUGGUAAUCCUAGCGACUAUCCUCGUAAUGAGUUUGCUGAUCAUACU